CAGCUUUCAUCUGGCUACCCUUUUCAUCUCUCAAGUAUAACCCAGGGAGAUGGAACUGGAGGUGAAAUGAGCACAGGCAUGUCUACUCAUGGAGUUCGUCAGGCAGAGGGAGGGCCUUUGCCAGAAGAUGUGAUUCUGUUCCCCUGCACCCUGAAGACAAGGCAGUGCCAACACAUGACGCAACGAUGUGUCCAUCUCCGUGGAUUCCCGAAUCACAGACAGGUCAGUGCCCCAGCCACAUAGUCAUGAUUCACUUGCUUCUGUUCUGAACUCAGAGUCCUAGAAGCUCUCACUCGGUUCCCUGGGACAGUUAAUAGGUUAUGUUAGCUGAUGCUAAGAAUCAUGUACCCAUGGGUCUUUCUUGUAGUGUCCUUUGCUGAGUAUACAAUCUAGUCCUUCCCAUCCUGGCUUUGAG
This 415-nucleotide long non-coding RNA is filed under the name Capra hircus (goat). Its description in RNAcentral is "lncRNA (ENSCHIG00000001301.1)". Lineage: Eukaryota; Metazoa; Chordata; Mammalia; Artiodactyla; Bovidae. The record is from RNAcentral.